RNAcentral lists this ribosomal RNA (59 nucleotides) under Hypotrichomonas acosta. RNAcentral describes it as "partial 28S rRNA". The record is from RNAcentral. Lineage: Eukaryota; Parabasalia; Hypotrichomonadida; Hypotrichomonadidae.
AACCCGAAUUGGUGAACUAUGCCUGCACAGAACGAAGCCAGGGGAAACUCUGGUGGAGG